This 558-nucleotide ribosomal RNA is filed under the name Micronychus sp. UPOL MT0021. Its description in RNAcentral is "partial 16S ribosomal RNA". It matches the Rfam family "Archaeal large subunit ribosomal RNA", at positions 2000 to 2785 of the family's 2987-position model. Lineage: Eukaryota; Metazoa; Arthropoda; Insecta; Coleoptera; Lycidae. The record is from RNAcentral.
UUAAAUUGCCGCAGUAUUUUGACUGUGCAAAGGUAGCAUAAUAAUUAGUUUCUUGAUUAGGAACUGGUAUGAAUGAUUGGACGAGAAAAUUUCUGUCUCUUUUGGAAGGUUUAUUGAAUUUUAUUUUUGAGUUAAAAAGCUCAAAUUUUUAUAAAAGACGAGAAGACCCUAUAGAGUUUAAUAUUUAAUUGUUUAUUAAAUUUUGGAAAUAGUUUUUUACAUUAAGUAUUUAGUUGGGGUGACUUAAAGAUUAAAUAAAUUCUUUAAAUUUUUAAUUGUUGAUAAAUAAUUUUUAAAUCUAGUUUUUUAAAUUUAAAAUUAAUUACCUUAGGGAUAACAGCGUAAUUUUUCUUUAGAGUUCUUAUUGAAAGAAGAUUUUGCGACCUCGAUGUUGGAUUAAAAUUAAUUUUUGGUGCAGUAACUAAAAAAUUAGGUCUGUUCGACCUUUAAAAUUUUACAUGAUCUGAGUUUAAACCGGUGUAAGCCAGGUUGGAUUCUAUCUUUAGUUUUAUAAUAUAUUUUAGUACGAAAGGACCAAAUAUAUAUUAAAUUUAAUUA